ACGCUGGCGGCGUGCUAACACAUGCAAGUCGAACGAUGAUAGAGAGCUUGCUUUCUUGAUUAGUGGCGCACGGGUGAGUAAUGCAUAGAUAAUGUGCCCCUUAGUUCGGGAUAGCCACUGGAAACGGUGAUUAAUACCGGAUACUCCUUCUUGUUAUAAGACAAGUCGGGAAAGUUUUUCGCUAAGGGAUCAGUCUAUGUUCCAUCAGCUUGUUGGUGAGGUAAUGGCUCACCAAGGCUAUGACGGAUAUCUGGUUUGAGAGGAUGAUCAGACACACUGGAACUGAGACACGGUCCAGACUCCUACGGGAGGCAGCAGUGAGGAAUAUUGCACAAUGGAGGAAACUCUGAUGCAGCAACGCCGCGUGGAGGAUGACGCAUUUCGGUGUGUAAACUCCUUUUAUUAGGGAAGAUAAUGACGGUACCUAAUGAAUAAGCACCGGCUAACUCCGUGCCAGCAGCCGCGGUAAUACGGAGGGUGCAAGCGUUACUCGGAAUCACUGGGCGUAAAGGGUGCGUAGGCUGGCUUUUAAGUCAGAUGUGAAAUCCAAUGGCUCAACCAUUGAACUGCAUUUGAAACUGAAAGCCUAGAGUUCAGAAGGGGCAGAUGGAAUUAGUGGUGUAGGGGUAAAAUCCGUAGAUAUCACUAGGAAUAUCAAAAGCGAAGGCGAUCUGCUGGGAUGAUACUGACG
This 691-nucleotide ribosomal RNA is filed under the name uncultured bacterium. RNAcentral describes it as "bacterial SSU rRNA". It matches the Rfam family "Bacterial small subunit ribosomal RNA", at positions 33 to 745 of the family's 1533-position model. The record is from RNAcentral.